AACGAACGCUGGCGGCGUGCCUAACACAUGCAAGUCGAGCGGGAAAGUUCCCUUCGGGAGCAAGUACAGCGGCGAACGGGUGAGUAACACGUAGGUAACCUACCCUGGAGUCCGGGAUAACCUGCCGAAAGGCGGGCUAAUACCAGAUAAGACCACGAGGGCUGCGGCCCUUGGGGCAAAAGAUGGCCUCUGCUUGCAUGCUAUCACUCCGGGAUGGGCCUGCGCGCCAUUAGCAGUUGGUGGGUAACGGCUCACCAAGGCUGAGAUGGCUAGCUGGUCUGAGAGGAUGGCCAGCCACACUGGGACUGAGACACGGCCCAGACUCCUACGGGAGGCAGCAGUGGGGAAUAUUGCGCAAUGGGCGAAAGCCUGACGCAGCGACGCCGCGUGGGUGAUGAAGGCC
RNAcentral lists this ribosomal RNA (403 nucleotides) under uncultured bacterium. Its description in RNAcentral is "bacterial SSU rRNA". It matches the Rfam family "Bacterial small subunit ribosomal RNA", at positions 29 to 416 of the family's 1533-position model. The record is from RNAcentral.